Molecule: unclassified non-coding RNA, 3087 nt
Filed under: Hevea brasiliensis (rubber tree)
Lineage: Eukaryota; Viridiplantae; Streptophyta; Magnoliopsida; Malpighiales; Euphorbiaceae
Source: RNAcentral
AUAAAACCUAAAGACAAAAUAAUAAUUUACACAAUAGAAAUUGAUGAUAAAAGAAAACAAGAACAUUUCUCAACUGCCUUACAGUAAAAAUUCAGCAUCAACCUCAGAAUAGAUCUCACAAGAGACAUUAAAAUAUUGUUUUGUUACACAAAUCCAUUCAAAAUACAAGCUACCGACUGCAGCACAGAUAAAUAGGCAAUAAUUAAUUAACUACCACCAACUAUACAUCUGUGUAACGCUCCAUUUGUUCAGCUUAAUACACACAAAGUCAUCGUAUCACACAAAGAUUAUUCCAGGAUAUACAUUUCGAAACAGCCCCAGGAAUCUUCACUCUUUCAGGCUGUUCGAUAAUGCAAGCUGCUUGUUUGCUCAUCAUGGCAAAACCAACUUCUGCAAAGCUUGCAUUAAGACGAAAAUAAUCCGAUUGACAGCUUCUUUAACUUUAAAAAGGAAUCACGCUGCACUAAAGCAGUUUUCCCAUGUUCCAUAUUUUGAGCUGAAGCUUCCUCCUCCACUCUGCUGUGCAUAAUCGGAAAUAACAGCUCGGGCACAAACAUCCCAUGUUCUUGCAAUUUCCCCAAGUGACAUGGGUUGUGAGAGGCUGCGGAGACAGAUGCUAAACCUUGACUUAGCCUUUACUGAAAGAUCCUCGUACUCCUUACUGUUGAAGUAGCAAGACCCCAGUUGAUUAACAGCAAUUAAAAGGAAAUAUUCUAUUGCAAGCAGGAAUGAAUAGAGGCAAAAAUGAAAUAUUAUACUGUUCAUCAUAUCCAAUUUCACUGUUGCACAAAGAACGAGACGUAAAAAAUUUAAGCUAAACCAUGCUGGCAUACUUCAUACAUAGCUUAUGAACAAAGUUGCUUGAGACUUAUUUAAAUCACACUCCUUAAAAAUGGUCAAAACUUUUUCUUAUUGUGCCAAAGUUGGAUUAUAUUAAUUCUUCAUUAGCAGACAGCAGAAUUCUAAUCCUUUUAACCAGUUGAUCAGAUAGCAUAAGACCAAGUCCAAGGAUACCCAAACAACAACUUAAACUAUUCCAUCUGGAAUGUCUAAUUUAAUCUAGGCAUCCAAGAACAGGUAGAGUCCUCCAACGUUUUAUCAUCACGAGGCAUCCACCAUGUAAGAAUACCACAUUGAAAGUUCCCAUCUCCAUAUGAAUAGAUGCCCCACUCACCAAAAUUUCUGACAAUGCCACUGAUAAUAAAAUUAGAAUGCUGUGUUCCCUUACCUGAUUUCAACCGGUAAUUUGUCUAAUAGAAUUGGAGAACAAUUAGGAUAAUUUGUAGGCACGAGCAAUCUAAGAGGCUGAAUUGGUGACAUUUGUGCUGAAGCAUACUGUGAUUUCAAAUUUGGACUAAGAGCUACAGCAUUGAAAGAACACUUAACAAUGGUUCCUUCACUCCCUUCGGCAGCAGCAGCCGCUGCAGUUGGAUCAACAUCUUCCUCACUAAUAUCAACCACUGUGUCUAUAAGUCGCUGAUUUAUUUCCCGUAUCUCUUCCAAAAGGGCAUGAUUAGCCUCAAUUCUAGGCCUCUUGACACUUGAUGUUGCAGUAGACUCCAAAUCAGAUGUCUCUGGACCAUUCAACUGCUUAAAGCUGUCAGUUAUGCUGCUAGCUGAUGAUACAACAUUCAAGGGCAUGGCGCUGGUAUAUCGCUUCAUUUUCCUCGUCCCAGUCAUUCCAUCGUGGGUCACAAUAUUUCUUGCCUGAAGACGACAAUUUGUCAUUGCUACCAAAUCCUCACCAACUGCAGCUCUAGACCCAUUACCUGGGGCUGAUCCGGCAAUUCUGUUUAUCAUACUGACAACUGAGCCAAUGUCACCGACUGAGGCACUCAAUGCAUUAGGGGACAUAGACUUAACCGCUUUAAUCAAGCGCUCAAGAGGUUGCUCUGUGACACUUGACUUGCCAGAAGCAGUGGUUAAAGCAUUGCCAUGUGCACCAUCAGAACCGGUGAACUCUGCAAGCAAAGGUGAGGCUGAUAUCCCAGGAGUGCCAAUUGCAAGGGAUGGAGCAGUUGCUUGAGCACCAGUUGUUUGUUGCUGUCCAACAUUUCCAGCAUUUGAAAGAGAGGAAAUACCAGAUACUGGUUUCUCAGAAUCUCCUGGAAUAGGGGAUGGAGCUAAAGGAGUUGAAGGAGAUGGGACAACAAAAGGAGAAUUUGCAGACUGUAAAGGGGUUCCGGUUUUUGUUAGAGAUGAUGGUAGAUUUUGCUGAUCAACUUGUGGAGAUGAAUGCUGAGAUAAUUGAGGGGAGGCAGCCUGAAGCAGCUGAGUUGAAGAAAUAGGAAAUGAAGAUCCUGAUUUCAUCUGUUGAUGGGGAUAAGUUGUGCGCUGACCUACAGGGAGGUGUUGCUGAAAAACACCUGGCUUAACACCCAUCCCCUGUCUGAUCUUAAGCUCAUUGACAUCAUUCAUCUGAUGAACCUGUGGCAUUUGGUGCCCCUGCAUUUGUGAAGGCAUCUGCUGCUUUGCCUGCUGGUGCAAUUGCUGCUGCUGCUGUUGGUGCAACAACUGCUGCUUCUGCAUGAACUGUUGCUGCAUCUGGCGCUGUUGAAAUUGUUGUUUGAGCUGUUGACUCUGCAAGAUCUGUUGUUCUGGCUGUUGUUUUAGAUGCUGAUGUUGAAGCAUAUUGGGAUUUGACUGAAGGGGAAUAUUUGGCUGCAGCAUAUUUAACCCACUCUGUGAUGACAAAUUGUUAAUAUUGGCCUGUUGGGCAGCGCUCACAGGAUUCUGUUGUAGAGAUCCUACUACUGGCUGCUGCAAUGAGCUCAUUGCAUUUCCUUGGCUUGAAUCUAAAUUGGACGUUGGCUGCAGGGAAUUCAUCAUGUUUGGCUGUGAUGUGGAAAACCCUGAUAAAGAAGGCAGAGAAUUAUGCUGCAAACUUGACAUAUUGUUCUGCUGCAGUGUUGGUAGAGAACCUUGCAAGCUCACUGAUUGCAUUUGAGGGUUCAUUUGAUUGUCAUGGGACUGCACUUGAGGAACUUGAGAUUGUGGUUGCUGGAUGUGGGGCUGGGGAAGUUGUCCUUGUUGAAGGGGCUUCCUGGGUCUAUUGGUGUUUAUAAAAUUUAUAAUCUGCUUCUCAUA